Gossypium arboreum is the source of this 107-nucleotide non-coding RNA. Lineage: Eukaryota; Viridiplantae; Streptophyta; Magnoliopsida; Malvales; Malvaceae. The record is from Rfam.
AAACCAUGCAUCGGGCAUUUUCUAAUUAAUUCAUUGAAUCGCUCCCAAGCUUUAUAUAAUGUCUUAUCCUAAUAUUGUCGAAAAGAGGUAAUAUCAUUCUUUAAUUU